AUACGGAAGUCUUCAUUUUCUGACGCGAAAUCAAACAGCUUACCGAGAGCAAAGUAUAAUCGUGGUCAUUUACGAACAAAACAGUUGGAAGUGAUAGCAUCACAAAGGGAACUUCCUUGGACAUGUUGGAUACAAGAACUUUGUCUGAGAAUAAAGGAGCUCUGAGUUUUUCAACUUCAUGAAAAACACGAUAUUAUAUCUCUUCACAUUUAACUGUCUUAGGUAUCUGUUUCUGUACAGUCACACACGAAGAAAA
Molecule: long non-coding RNA, 256 nt
Organism: Haliotis rubra (blacklip abalone)
Lineage: Eukaryota; Metazoa; Mollusca; Gastropoda; Lepetellida; Haliotidae
Exons: 2
Source: RefSeq, a predicted model, not a curated record